AUGAAGGAGAGUUCUACAGCUACUCCUAUUGAAAUCUGUGACAUGGAACCAGAUGUAUUCAAUUCCUUGCUCCACUACAUAUACACCGAUUCAGUCCCUCCGAUGCUUGAUGUGGUGAUGGCUGGCCAUCUUCUAGUGGCGGCCGACAGGUACAAUAUUGUCAGGCUAAAGCAGAUAUGCGAGGAGAAACUGUGCAAUCACAUUGAUUCCAACAUGGUGGCAACUAAUUUGGCUCUAGCAGAGCAGCAUGGUUUCUGUCAUCUCAAAGAAGCUUGUUUGCAAUUCCUUGCCUCCCCAUCCAAUUUGGAGGCAAUGAUUGCAAGUGAGGGUUACGAGCAUCUUAAGUCCAGCUGCCCGUCUGUUCUCAAGGAGCCCAUAGCAAGAAUCCUGCCGGCUGAACUGAAAGCGGCAAAGGAUAUCAUC
RNAcentral lists this ribosomal RNA (423 nucleotides) under Triticum aestivum (bread wheat). RNAcentral describes it as "partial small subunit ribosomal RNA". Lineage: Eukaryota; Viridiplantae; Streptophyta; Magnoliopsida; Poales; Poaceae. The record is from RNAcentral.